This 538-nucleotide long non-coding RNA is filed under the name Ananas comosus (pineapple). Its description in RNAcentral is "long non-coding RNA (ACOM_LNC018321)". The record is from RNAcentral. Lineage: Eukaryota; Viridiplantae; Streptophyta; Magnoliopsida; Poales; Bromeliaceae.
AUUUUAAAAAAAUUUAAGGGCCGAAAUCUUUUGGUGCAUAGGAGCAUUGCUCUAAAAAUUUUAGAAGAUAAAUAAAAUUUUAACUAGUCAAUUUUUAAUAAAAAAGUUUAGUGAUUAGAUAAUUAAUAUUAAAAAAUAUUAAAUUUAUUUCGUUAAUUUACACUCGCUUAACUUCUAAUUAUUUUAUUUACAUUAUUUCAAUCAAAUAACUUGUGAAUUUUAUUAAAUCUAAUAGUAAUUUAGUUGGAAUUUAAUUUUUUAAAUUUUUGUUAAUAAAAUAAUAACAACCAAUAACUAAUAUCUAACAGAACUAUUAAAUUUAGCAUACUAUUUUAUUUAGUUAAAUAAAUUAGCCCAUCAAAAAUAAAUAGAAAGUUAAGAAUGUAUAAAUAAAAUAUUUAAAGUUAAAAGGAAUUAGCUUAAAAUGCAUGAUAAUUAAGAGGUUCUUAGUGUAUUUUCACCUAUAAAACACAUAAGAAAAGAGAGAGCUCUAUACCAGCACUAAAAACUUUUUACUAGAUAGGCCCAUAUAUUUUAA